UGUCAUUCAAGUUCCUGAGCUGAAGAAAAAUGGACACUUCCUUCUCCCGGCGAAAAGGGGAUCCCCAGUCUGAUGCUCUUACCCGGAAGGCCUUUCCACUGGGGCUGAGCUCUAGCCAAACUGAGCUGUUUCCGCACAUGCAGAGGCUGCAGGAAAGCAAAGUGACCAAGAUCCCAGGCGUGGCAUCAGGCUGCCUGGCUGUCAGCCCUGCCUCUGUCAUUUGCUAGGUGGUCUGCUGACUGUUGGUGGGGGGAACACUGGCCCUCAAGCAAAGUGGACACAACAUUACUGCUAAAGUCAAACAGAAGAGCAGACGGGAGAGGGAAAGCAACAGAUCUGAGCUUCAUGCCUAACUUUAUCACCUGGAAGUCUCUGAGCCUACACAUAUCACUGUCUGCACACGCCUCUGUUCAUCAGCAUCUCCAACCCCAGAGGCAGCUGUUCAUCUUCCUGAGGUCUUUCUAUCUCCUAGAUAGAGACUGAACCCUGGGAAGCCAUGUUCUACUUGUAAUAAAUAGAACUUAACCUGAAAAUAAGAGA
This 540-nucleotide long non-coding RNA is filed under the name Homo sapiens (human). Its description in RNAcentral is "HSALNT0330274". The record is from RNAcentral. Lineage: Eukaryota; Metazoa; Chordata; Mammalia; Primates; Hominidae.